This is a microRNA precursor of Anolis carolinensis (green anole), 75 nucleotides long. Ensembl annotates it as aca-mir-30c-2. Its record names the gene aca-mir-30c-2. The record is from Ensembl. Lineage: Eukaryota; Metazoa; Chordata; Lepidosauria; Squamata; Anolidae.
UAGCAGCGCAUGUAAACAUCCUACACUCUCAGCUGUGAAUUUGUGGUGGCUGGGAGAAGGUUGUUUACACCUUCU